Molecule: non-coding RNA, 222 nt
Organism: Pelobates cultripes (western spadefoot toad)
Lineage: Eukaryota; Metazoa; Chordata; Amphibia; Anura; Pelobatidae
Source: the annotation of a GenBank genome assembly
CCCCUCACAAGCACAGCAUUAUAGGCGGUGUCCAGAUGCCCUUCUUGUUCCCACAAACAAGCAGAAAAGUACACUGUAGAGUUAGGGCCUACCGCACUCUAUAGGCUCCACAAACCGGAUCGUACCUCUCGGCGCUCACACCGGAGGACACAGGAUUGUACCCUCACAAUGCCAGAGAGCACACUGCUGUGAUACAAUGGGCCAAAAAUCCCAGAAAGCCCA